RNAcentral lists this ribosomal RNA (364 nucleotides) under Triticum aestivum (bread wheat). RNAcentral's name for it is "partial small subunit ribosomal RNA". Lineage: Eukaryota; Viridiplantae; Streptophyta; Magnoliopsida; Poales; Poaceae. The record is from RNAcentral.
UCCACGCCGGUGGGCUAGUUCCCCAUAUGAGCACCUGCUGAUACUUCUAACUUCUUAACGAAAGAAAUUUUCUUUGGUCUACCCCAGGUGGAUGUCUAUCGUGUUCUUCGGCGUAGUUAGUUUGUUCAGCAGCAACGAAAAUAAAGGAAUCUAAUCUAAUCUAUUUAGUUCAGCCAAUCAUACAAAACCAUCCAGUUCAAACACGAAAGGAAGCUUAAUCCCCACACCGAUCGCACAAUCAGUUUGGUACGAACCCAGUCGAUAUGAUGAUAUUUAUCGGUAUCAAGCCAGUAACAUUUUCCCUCCAAUAUAAAACUAUUAUUUGUACUACACAAAAAUCCCAUUAUGGGCAUAGCUCAAAACC